This is a long non-coding RNA of Brachypodium distachyon (stiff brome), 774 nucleotides long. RefSeq lists it as uncharacterized. The record is from RefSeq and is a predicted model, not a curated record. Lineage: Eukaryota; Viridiplantae; Streptophyta; Magnoliopsida; Poales; Poaceae. The transcript has 2 exons.
GGGCCAAAGGCUCACAAAGAGAAACAGCAGGGCGUCAUAUCAAGGCAUCUCUUUGUCUCUCCAUUGGAGCCUUGGAAAAAAUCUAUCCAUCCCUCUACUGCCUGCCAACAUAUAUUCAAAAACCUCUAUUACGACUCAUGGGAAAGGAAGCAUCGGUUUUGUCAAUUUGAGCACUCAAAGUAACAAAGGGUUGGAGGCUUGGAGCAAAUCAAAAAGAAGAAAGAACAGAGCAAAAAUGGGUCACAGGAGAAGUAAUCGCCACAAAGGAAGAGGUGAGGGUGGUGAUGAAGAGGGCAACUCUUGCUACCCCUGCUAUGUGUUCAGCUCUUUCAUUAGAGGGAUCGGGAGGUGCCUAUUUGUGGCUUGCUAUCCCGUGAUCCAGUGUUGUGGCCUUGAUGAAUGCAGGCACCACCACAACACACACCUAAGCCACUUCAGAUGAUGCAUCCAUCGGCCAAGUAUACAACACCUGAACCAUCAAUUCUUUUCUCUCUCUGUUUUUUCUCUCUACCCGUGGGAUUAUAGCUCUUAGUAAUCAUGUCAUCUUCUCGGGAAGAAUUGUUCAUAUCAAUAUAUGGUGCUAUGAGCCUUUGCUAGGUUUGCAUCUUUUAAUUAGCUCCAAUUUCCACUAGAGAAGAAAGGCUUGUGUGCCUGACCUCAGCAAUUGUUAGAAGAAUGCAGGGGAAGAAAUAUGCAUCCCAAAGAGCUAUUUGUCUCUUGCAAGCUUGCUACUAAUUUUGCUGCUUCUUUCAUAACAUGGUGACACAUUUGAUA